AGCAAGGCUGAGUGAGCAGCAAGCCCAAUAUGGCCAAAAAAGACAAGCUCGCAGUGGUAAGGGUGAAAUGGUGAGGUAAGAGCUCACCGGAGACAUGGAGACAUGUCUGCCGUGUAAACCCCACCCGGUGCAAGGCCAAGCAGAGCAUAAGUCCGCAUAUGCGGAUGGUGGCGGCCCGUCACCGCUCUAAUGGUAGGCCGCAAGCGGAUAUUAUUAUCCCGGAGGGCGGCGGCAACGUCGUUCCCAGAUAGAUGAUCGUUCUCGACAGAAUCCGGCUUAUCGGCUUGCUCGAUAU
Molecule: RNase P RNA, 295 nt
Filed under: Eubacteriales Family XIII. Incertae Sedis bacterium
Lineage: Bacteria; Bacillati; Bacillota; Clostridia; Peptostreptococcales; Anaerovoracaceae
Description: partial RNase P RNA component class A
Rfam family: Bacterial RNase P class A
About the family: Ribonuclease P (RNase P) is a ubiquitous endoribonuclease, found in archaea, bacteria and eukarya as well as chloroplasts and mitochondria. Its best characterised activity is the generation of mature 5'-ends of tRNAs by cleaving the 5'-leader elements of precursor-tRNAs.
Source: RNAcentral